GAAGGAAAGAGACCUGGCCCACGAGCACACGCAACUAGGUCCAAGUGUCCUGCAAAGGAAGAAACCAGACACACAGGCACGCGCGGCCAGAGACCAGAUGUCUUGCAAAGGGAGCGACUCAGCUAGCUUUGGGUACACUGGGCCAGCUCAAAACCGGCUAGCCGGUACGACCCAGGCACGCGAGAUAAAGGAUUUAGGGGCCAGGGCGGCGCAACCUUCGCCACAAACUCGGUCUCCCGCCCACCGCCGCUGCCUGCCACCAGGGGGCACUCCCCGACCCAAGCAACGGAGUGUCACAGCUCAAAUCAGACAGGCCUGCUGCUGGGCUCUUGCACCAGAGUUUUGAAACUGCCAGGUGACUCUGCUGGAGUUGGACAUGAACAUAAUCCAGUACUUGGAGGCAGAAUGAGGAAGGAAGAUCAAGAGUUCAAGGAGGUUUGAGAGUGGGGGCAGAAGAAGAGAGAA
Molecule: long non-coding RNA, 465 nt
Filed under: Mus caroli (Ryukyu mouse)
Lineage: Eukaryota; Metazoa; Chordata; Mammalia; Rodentia; Muridae
Description: lncRNA (MGP_CAROLIEiJ_G0002826.1)
Source: RNAcentral